Molecule: ribosomal RNA, 1159 nt
Filed under: uncultured fungus
Lineage: Eukaryota; Fungi
Description: eukaryotic LSU rRNA
Rfam family: Eukaryotic large subunit ribosomal RNA (bases 542-1159)
Source: RNAcentral
AAGUCGUAACAAGGUUUCCGUAGGUACGUAAAACUGAAAUCCUUUCAAUUAUAAUCAAUAACUAACAAUCUCCAGGUGAACCUGCGGAAGGAUCAUUACCGAGUUCUCCUGCUCUGCGGGAACUCCCACCCUUGAACAUGUGGUGUUGCUUCGGCGAGACACUGGUCGCACGGUCAUCGAUGGAGGUCGAUGCGUGCUUGCCGGAGUUCCAUACUCUAUAUUAUGUAUAGUCAGAGAAAACAAGCAAUAAAUAAAAACUUUCAACAACGGAUCUCUUGGUUUUGGCUUCGAUGAAGAACGCAGCGAAAUGCGAUAAGUAAUGUGAAUUGCAGAAUCAGUGAAUCAUCGAAUUUUUGAACGCAUAUUGCACUCCUUGGUAUUCCUUGGAGUACACUUGUUCGAGCGCCGGUUGAUCAAUAAGGCUUCGCCUUGUGUUGAGAUUUCCUGCAAAGGAAUGCUCCAAACCUCUAGGCGUCUGUCGUGCCUGAACCGCAACACAAUGCGGCAAUGGACUUCGGCAGUCGCCCAAUACCGUCUCGUAUGGCCUCGGAUCAAGUGGGGAUACCCGCUAAACUUAAGCAUAUCAUUCAGCGGAGGAAAAGAAACCAACAGGGAUUGCCUCAGUAACGGCGAGUGAAGCGGCAAGAGCUCAGAUUUGAAAUCGGCCCCCCGGCUGAGUUGUAAUCUGUAGAGGAAUGUUCGGCGGAAGUGUUGGCUAAAGUUUUCUGGAAGGAAGCGCCGUAGAGGGUGAGAGCCCCGUUUAGCCCGCGUCUGAUGCCAUGUGUACAUCCUUCGAAGAGUCGAGUUGUUUGGGAAUGCAGCUCAAAAUGGGUGGUAAAUUCCAUCUAAAGCUAAAUAUAAGCCAAAGACCGAUAGCGCACAAGUAGAGUGAUCGAAAGAUGAAAAGCACUUUGGAAAGAGAGUGAAACAGUACGUGAAAUUGUUGAAAGGGAAGCGCUUGUGGUCAGACUUGAGCGUAGUUGCUCAGCCGUUCUUUGAGCGGUGCACUCAACUACGACCAGGCCAGCAUCGGUUUGGGCGGCUGGAUAAAGGCUCGAGAAAUGUGGCCCUUCGGGGUGUUAUAGUCUCUUGCACAAUACAGUCAGCCUGGACCGAGGACAGCGUUCGCUAGGAUGCUGGCGUAAUGGCCAUCAGCGAC